Molecule: non-coding RNA, 72 nt
Organism: Potamilus streckersoni
Lineage: Eukaryota; Metazoa; Mollusca; Bivalvia; Unionida; Unionidae
Source: the annotation of a GenBank genome assembly
UUCCAAGUGGUCUAGUGGUUAGAAUUCCGCGCUCUCACCACAGCGGCUGGGGUUCAGUUCUCCUCUUGGGAA